This 29-nucleotide ribosomal RNA is filed under the name Eugenia axillaris. Its description in RNAcentral is "partial 18S ribosomal RNA". Lineage: Eukaryota; Viridiplantae; Streptophyta; Magnoliopsida; Myrtales; Myrtaceae. The record is from RNAcentral.
GAAUCCNGCCUAGCAGAAUGACCAGAGAA